AUGUUACCGAAUAAUCAAUGGCAAAUACCUAUAAACAAUGGAUUAACACAUCAGGAAAAUAUGGCAGCACACGCAGCCGUCAUGAAAUUGAGAGUACACGAUCUUCAGUCGAUUAUCUCGCAAUUGUCACUUCGAAAGCCACGUCCACAAAAAUCGGAGCAUCAGAAGGUCGUCGUUGAAUCCUUGCGUGAUCCUCAUCAUGCUCGGCAAAUUUAUCAAAUGGCUUCCAAUUUCCCGAACGGAAAUUAUGAGGUAAGUAUGAAAAAAAAGUCCUGUUAUCAAAACUCCAAAAAAACGGCUAGGUUUAUCAAUAUAUAUCAUUUCUUCGCAAGCACCUCUCCUGAUGACAUGUGCGCUCUAUUGAGAAACAAACGUUCAAAAAAUCUCUUCCGCUUUGUUUUUUAUUCCCAAAUGUAUUUUUGCAAAUGUUCUAAUUGUCUAAAAUAUUCCACAUAUUUAAAGUUAGAGCCUAAAAAAUUAUGCAGAAGCGACCUGCAACAACAUCCCAAGUUCGGUCUCAUCCAUAUGUGCUGCCAUCUCGAUCUGGAGCUAGUAAUCACUUGGUCAAUCAUCAUUAUCAGCAGCAACAACAACAACAACCACAGCCUCACAAUCUACUUCAUCAACAAAUGAUGGCGUCACAUCAUUCACAUCUGCAACAGCAGCACCAUCCGUCGACGCCGAAAAAAAUGUAUGCUGAUAAUUUUGAACCGCUUCCACUUCCAUUCUACGAUGUUAUUUCUGUUUUGCUGAAGCCUGUCGAGCUGCAUUCAUCAGACAGUCCAACUUUGAAGCAAACAAAACAGUUACAAUUCCCGUUCUUAUUGACUGCUGAGCACAUCUCCAAGAUUUCGUAUCGAGCUGAUGUUACACCUCUUCCACGAUAUGAAUUGCAGUUGAGGUUCUUCAAUCUUACUGAACCAGUUCAGGGUCCUCAAAAAGACGACUUUCCACUCAAUUGCUACGCACGUGUUGAUGAUUCUGUCGUUCAAUUGCCGAAUGUAAUCCCAACAAAUAAGACAAAUGCUGAGCCGAAACGACCAUCUCGUCCAGUGAAUAUCACUUCAAACAUGAAUAGAUACAAGAAAGAGCACACAGUUGCAGUCGAAUGGUUAGCCGACAAACGUGUAUGGGCAGCUGGAGUUUAUUUCGUUCAUCGUGUUAACUCGGAUAUUCUCUUUAAACGUCUUAAUCAGAAUGUAUCAAGACAUCGAUCACUUGAGGUUACCAAGCAAGAAGUGAUCAAGAAACUGUCUGGAGGUGAAGAUGAUAUUGCUAUGGAUCGUCUUAAUAUCAGUCUUCUUGAUCCACUGUGCAAGACAAGAAUGACAACGCCUUCUAGAUGCCAAGAUUGUACCCAUUUGCAAUGUUUUGAUCUCCUCUCAUAUUUGAUGAUGAACGAGAAGAAACCAACGUGGCAGUGCCCUGUUUGCUCGAGUAACUGCCCAUAUGAUAGACUUAUUGUUGAUGAUUAUUUCCUCGAUAUGCUUGCAAAGGUGGAUAAGAAUACGACGGAAGUUGAACUUAAGGAAGAUGGCUCGUACGAUGUUAUCAAGGAAGAAGCUUUUUGCAUCUCAGAUGAUGACGACGAUGACGUUGUACCUGCUACUGUUAACGGUACAGCGUCAUGCUCUUCGACAAAUGGCAAUGGACUUGCAAAUGAAGCAGCGAAGAAAAAACCAGCUGACGACGACAUAAUUACCUUGAGUGAUGACGAUGAUGAGGAAUUGAACAGAGGUAUAAUGAACUCUCUGAACGACAGCUUCUCUCCUGGCAGACACACAGCUUCCGCAGAAUUGGCUGCUCAAAAGACACCACCACAGCAGAAAAAGAAGACGAAAGACGAUGACAUAGAGAUUAUUACUCUCGAUGAUACACCACCUCGUCCAGUAGCUGCAAGUGCAAAUCUUCCAAUGCGUCAGAUGUCUCAACAGAAUCAAAUGCCAGUUGGCUCAUCUCCAUCUGGAAUGGCCUCAACGCAAAUGGGAAUGAACGAGGGUGCAAGUAAAACUAUCCGGGAUGCGCUGAACAAAAUAGGAGAACCAAUGAUAAACCAGGCACCACACUUCCAAAUGCAAAACGGGCUCAUAGGGCGAAACAAUCAAAUGGUUCAUAUGCAGCAGCACCAUCUUCAGCAGCAACAACAGCAGCAGCAGUCACCACAAAUCAUGUCUCCGUCUUUUUAUGCUCAACAGCAAAUGUCAAACGGUGACACCAAUAACAUCCAACCACCACGAAUUCUUUCCAUGGCUGAAAUACAAGCAAAUGCAUCUCGACUUUUGGUAAAUGGACACCUGAUGAUCGAUCACUCAGGAGUCACUAUGCGCAAUCCACGUGGCUCACGGAAUUAA
RNAcentral lists this unclassified non-coding RNA (2351 nucleotides) under Caenorhabditis elegans. RNAcentral describes it as "Non-coding transcript of protein-coding gene gei-17". The record is from RNAcentral. Lineage: Eukaryota; Metazoa; Nematoda; Chromadorea; Rhabditida; Rhabditidae.